This 840-nucleotide long non-coding RNA is filed under the name Pongo abelii (Sumatran orangutan). RNAcentral's name for it is "lincRNA". Lineage: Eukaryota; Metazoa; Chordata; Mammalia; Primates; Hominidae. The record is from RNAcentral.
ACACACACACACACACAGAGACAGACUCUCACUCUCUUACACAGCCCCUCUCGCGCCCGAGGUCUCGCCCGCAGGCCGGUGGCGCGGGGUCAGCUGCUGCCUGCGGUCCAGGACAGGGUCGGUUCCGCCGCGCAGCGCCCAGGCCCAGCUCGUCCAGAGUCUGCGGGCAGCGCACGUCCAGGCACUUUCCCACACAGGACAGAGCCGGACCAUCAUCACAGCCCCUGCCCAGCAGACGCUAGCCUUGUGGAGGGAGGCGGGCAGCAGGAGCAGUGCUUUCUGGGCCUCUGUGGCCAGAGCCGGCCCCGCUACAGCUCACUUCUGCCUGCAGCCCAGACAUCCUCCUGGUCCUCCUGAUGCCCCCGACCUCCACGGAGGAUGAGCAUUUCCAGCCCAGCCCUCCCCAUCUCCACCUCCCACUCCCGACACACAGGGAGCCUCCUGAUCUGUGAACCCGCGCUGGCGGGAGUAGCUACUGACCGCUGGGGACCCCUGCCCAGGCUGCUCCCAUGUGGAAAGGAUUCAGGGAGCAGGCGAUGCUUAGCCGAAAGCGUGGAGACCAGCGCUGCUCUCUCCCCAGCGACAGGUGCACACCCAGAUCAUGGAUGUGUCGGGAACAGCUGUGCUCCUGCUCAGCGUCCGUCACUCCAGGCUGGGAGCGGGUCCCCAAGCUUCCAGCUGGGCCUAUCCGUCUCCACUCUCAGUGUGGGGGUGGGGGGCGCCAACAGCAUGCAUUUGCUCUACGCACUUCUCGUCUGAUAAUGGACUGAGGGUCCUUCUGCAGCCCCAAAACAUCCCUAGGCAGGAGCCCUGGGGCCCCAAGCAGCCAGGGAGGUGAGC